GAACUAAAGUUUUGAAGAUUACUUGAUGUAGAAUGAUGAAAUUGAUCAUGCUUAUCUUACUUAUGAAUUGAUUUCUCAACUUUUAACACCUAAAGAGCUGAAACACUAAAAUCUCAACUUAAUGGUUAUUAUCCCACUGCAUGAUACAUAUGAUCGGGUGGUGUUGUGCAUUCAUUAGGAGAAAGUUGAUCAUGCACUUUAGGCAGUAUACAUGACACUUAUUAUAUAUUUUUUUUUCUUAAUAAGAAUUGAGAUAGACUGUUGCUUGUAGGUUUUACAUACAUAUGUAUAUUUGUACAUGUAUAUGUAUAAUGUAUAUGUGUGUGUGUGUGUAUAGAUAAAUAGAGAGUAAUUUACAGUAAAGGGCCACGAACUAAAAGUCAAGAAAACAAUGUAGUGUGUUUUGUCUUAUAUUGUAUUGGAAUUUGUGUUUUUUUUUUUUUUUGUUUUGUAAUUACCAUAUUAAAGUAAAGGAUCCCUUAUUAGAAGGGGACUCGAUAUAUAUAUGUGUGUGUGUAUAAUUUUACGUUAAGGGAAUCCCGUACUUUAAUAAAAUAAGGGAGAAGCUAAAAGAUAAAAAAACAGACUCCAAUGCAUUGUAUUUAAAUCUGUGUUUUCUCAUCUUUUAACUUAUCCCUUAUUUUAUAAAGUAUGGGAUAUAUAUGAGUCCCCUUCCAGGAAGGGAAUUACAUGCUUUAUAAAGUAAGGAACAAGGUAAAAAAAAUGGAAAAAACAUAUAUUUCAAUAUAUUACAGGACAAAAUUCAGUGUCUCAAAGUGUGAAUUUUUCUUGUAUUUUAGCUUGUCCUUUGGUUUAAUAAAGUUAGAGGUCCCUUAUUAGAAAAUUACUAUAUGUGUGUGUACAUAGGGUAAUUAUCUAGUCCAGGAGGA
RNAcentral lists this long non-coding RNA (890 nucleotides) under Citrus maxima (pomelo). Its description in RNAcentral is "long non-coding RNA (CMAX_LNC004067)". Lineage: Eukaryota; Viridiplantae; Streptophyta; Magnoliopsida; Sapindales; Rutaceae. The record is from RNAcentral.